Molecule: long non-coding RNA, 1616 nt
Organism: Raphanus sativus (radish)
Lineage: Eukaryota; Viridiplantae; Streptophyta; Magnoliopsida; Brassicales; Brassicaceae
Exons: 2
Source: RefSeq, a predicted model, not a curated record
AUUUUGAGUUAAAAAAAAUUAGCUGAUCCGCAGGUUGGCGGGGGGAGGGGGGGUGGUGGACCCGCGAACCCACCUCUAAUUCCACGGUGGUUGAGGUGACAGUAUCUCUCAUGCCACAGCCUUGGUAUGUCUUCUGUGAUUGUUUGAAAACAUUGUUGUUGUUGCCUGGUGUCAUCACUUGUCUCAUCAAACAACAUUAACAUUCUGUUUAUGCUCAUGUAGCUCUCUCCUAUCAGACCUCGUUCAUCAUGGUACAUCUUGAAAGCUCCCUUAUGUAUGAUGAUUGUUAUCUUUUUGAAGUUGUCCAGGACUCGACACAUUGUUUUUGAGCUCUGGAACGUGGUAGACUUCACUGAUUGUAUACCAUUUUUGGAUCAGAUCUUGACAGUCUAUACAAUCAGUGUGGUAGACUACAAAGACUAAUUCGAACUUAUUGACCUUCAAACAUCCGAACGGCUCCUUAAUUUGCUCCAACAGAACUCUUUCUGUGUGUGUUAGUUUGCAUGCUCACCUCCUUUAUAUUUAAAAAGAAAACUUAGACAUAAAUAUCUACAAACUAGAAACUUUCUUUUUGUGAUCUUUUACGAAUAAAUCACUCUCCUUUAUUUUAUAAGUUAUUGCAGCUAUACUCGCACUCGUCAUGGGACAACGGUUUCUACAGACUCAGAAGAUUAUGCCGGCUGGUUUGGUUGCUGGGAUCAGGUUCCACAUAUAUCAAGCUCAUGAUCACAGGAUUGCCUUGUCUCAGUUGAUGCUACAAAAAUGUCUAUCGAUCCAUCAAAACCAACAGGAGGAUCUGAAGAGUCUGUUCUAUCAUAUGGGCACAGAGGCGCACACUUGCCUGCCCUGCUUCCUGUUUCCCAAGUUUCUUCAUUUGUUUGUUCCUUUUUUCUGGUGGUUGUACAGCUUCUCUCCGCCUUAAGUUCACUUUUUUACCAUAGCAUCUCCGCCCCUAGCUUUCAAAUCUUAUUGCAUUGACCCAAAAAAAAAAAGAAUCUGUUAUUUGCAAGGGUUAUCUGGUUCAACUUUCAAAAAUAUCUUCUUUUCUCCUUAAUGUAACCAACAUUCUGCUUUCUUGGUCCCAUCGAUGAUCAUACUCUUCGUCUCUGCAGUAUCUCUAUCUACAUCAACCUCUGCUCAUCAUCACAAAGUUUCCUCGUCUUUUGUUGUGUACUUAUGCUUGCAGUUUCCCCCUUGCUCAUUUGCUCUACUUUUACUGAAUCAAGCUAUUGAGAAGACCCUAAGUCAUUAACUAUCCAUCACCGGAAAUUCUCUUCUCCUUUUAUACCAAGUGAGACUCAUAAUCAUCUGCCUUCCCUGCAUCACUACACUUGUUAUUCCUAGGUCUGAUCCAAAAAAUGGUCAUGUUAUCAUCUUCUUUAACUUAAUCUGUUCCCUCUAUACGCUUCUCUGUUUUAAUCUAUUAUAACAACAUAAGUUUGCAUUCAAACAUUGUCAAGUUAGAUGAAUAGAGUAGAGAUAUCUAUUUACACUGCCCACUGUAUUAAAAGGCUUUUCUAACAUUUACAAGAACAAAAAACAAAACAAAAAAAAGAAGCCGACAAGCCAAAUCUACUACCCAAACACUGCCUCAUGGUCAUCACCAGAAAAACCAA